RNAcentral lists this ribosomal RNA (426 nucleotides) under uncultured bacterium. Its description in RNAcentral is "partial 16S ribosomal RNA". It matches the Rfam family "Bacterial small subunit ribosomal RNA", at positions 354 to 796 of the family's 1533-position model. The record is from RNAcentral.
GUGAGGAAUUUUCCGCAAUGGGCGAAAGCCUGACGGAGCAAUGCCGCGUGAAGGAUGAAGGCCUAUGGGUUGUAAACUUCUUUUCUCAGAAAAGAAUUAUGACGGUAUCUGAGGAAUAAGCAUCGGCUAACUCUGUGCCAGCAGCCGCGGUAAGACAGAGGAUGCAAGCGUUAUCCGGAAUGAUUGGGCGUAAAGCGUCUGUAGGUUGUUUAAAAAGUAUUCUGUCAAAGAUUAGGGCUUAACCCUAGAUAGGCAGAAUAAACUUUUAAGCUAGAGUUUGGUAGAGGCAGAGGCAAUUCCCGGUGGAGCGGUGAAAUGCGUAGAUAUCGGGAGGAACACCAAAGGCGAAGGCACUCUGCUGGGCCAAUACUAACACUGAGAGACGAAAGCGAGGGGAGCAAAUGGGAUUAGAAACCCCUGUAGUCC